AGCUUUUGACCUUGUCCGAGAGAUAACCCUCACAAACUCCAUCUCCUCCGCUUGUCUCGUCUCUUCGCGUCAUGAUGCAGCAGCCACCUCCAGCCGCUAACGGUGCCGCCGCCGCAGGGCCAGGAGAUCAGCAAGCUUACCACCACCACCAGCAAUCCUGGAUGAUGCAGCCCCACCAAGCUCAGCCACCAGCAGGAUGGAAUCCCCAAUCAGCGCCGUCUCUAGGUCAACCACAACAAUACAGCGGUGGAUCUCAAACUCCAGGAUCAGGCGACGAGAUCCGAUCCUUGUGGAUCGGAGACUUGCAGCCGUGGAUGGACGAGAGCUACCUCGUCAACAGCUUCUCCAUCACCGGAGAGGUAACACGAAAGCUUAUAUAUAAACCCUUUGAAGAAAGUUUCAACCUUUAUUCAUUUUACAUGAAACCCUUAUCGAAAGUUUUAAACUUUAUGUCGAUAACUGUGUCUUUAGGUUCAACAAGCUAAAGUCAUCCGCAAUAAGCAGAGUGGAUACUCCGAAGGCUACGGCUUUAUUGAGUUUGUGAGCCACGCUGCAGCCGAGAGGAUUCUCCAGACUUACAACGGUGCUCUAAUGCCCAGCAGUGAGCAGACCUUCAAGCUGAACUGGGCUGGUGAGAGGCGCCAGUCCGAAGGGCCUGAGCACACUGUUUUCGUUGGAGACUUGGCGCCUGAUGUUACUGACUACAUGCUUACCGAGACGUUUAAGAAUGUGUAUUCAUCUGUCAAGGGAGCUAAGGUUGUGGUUGAUAGGACUACGGGACGGUCCAAGGGGUACGGGUUUGUUAGAUUUGGGGAUGAGAGUGAGCAGAUAAGGGCUAUGACAGAGAUGAAUGGUCAGUAUUGCUCGUCUAGGCCUAUGCGUACUGGUCCGGCUGCUAACAAGAAGCCUCUUACAAUGCAGCAACCUGGUAUGUUUUUUGUUAACCGUGUUUUUUCUGAUACUUGUGAAAAAUAUGUUGAGUGGACUUGCGUUGUCUUUUAACUGUCUAUGUUAGUUAAUUGUCUCUUCUGUGGGGUGUAUUAUUCUAUUGGUUUUGAAGAACUCUUUUCCUUCCGCUUGUUGCCUUUCCGCACAUUUAAAUGUCACAAAAAAGCAUCAUAAAGCUUAUAAGAGAAAAACUCAUGUUGUCUUAAAGCAGGAGAACAAGGGGCCUGGAACUGACUUCAGCUGAAAAUGAUACCACCUUAUUGGCUGGCCUCAUUUAGGUCAGUUGGUUUUGUUUUCAGAAGAAAGUUAAAUUACCAGCAGCUUUUUAUUUAGCUUUCCAGUUCCUUAUCAAUCAUACGUCGCCCUACCUUUAAGUUUUUUUCGUUUUUCAUAUUAUACUUCUCUUCCAGUUUGGAAUCUUUAAAGAGUUUUUGUAGUCUUUUUUCAUAUCUCUCAGUUUAUCUUCUUCAGUAGUUAGUGUUGCAAUUUUUUUCCUUCUUUCAGUUACCAUUCUCUUAAUUUAUGCUAUAGUAUCAACUCUUUGUAUCAUAGUACCAAUUCUUUGCAAGUUGGAUGCAACUCUGAUUGGUACUAUGGUAAAGACUAAAGAGUGUCAGACCUCGAGUAUUUUGGUGUCAUUCUCUAAUUUCUCAAAGUUGAAUCCAACUUUUGCCUGGAACGCCCUUAAUGCUUUGUCUAUUAUCUACUAACUUCAGAAUCUCUUUACCUAAAUCUUCAUGUUGUAUCAUUUAUGCCACUAUCUUUUAUCUGUUAGACAUUUUUUGGAUCUUGAUUUGGAUAAAUGUUGGAACUCUUGUCGUUUGUGCAUGUUUGCUUUGGAAUAUAGAAGUUUGAGUUUUCUCCCCUAAUGUCUCUUGUCUGUUAUUUGCAGGUGGAUAUCAGAACCCUCAAGGAAAUGCCGGAGAAAGUGAUUUAACUAACACAACAGUGAGUACUUUGUUUUGUUUUGGUUUCGUCAAGUCUGUUCUAUGUAGGGUGUAUUGUGUGAAUUUAAGCGUCAUUUUCCCUUUACCAGAUAUUUGUUGGAGCGUUGGAUGAAAGUGUGACAGAAGAUGUUUUGAAGUCAGUUUUUGGUCAGUUUGGUGAACUUGUUCAUGUUAAAAUACCAGCUGGAAAACGUUGCGGAUUUGUUCAAUAUGCUAAUAGGUAGUGUAACCGUGAAGAUGAACUUCCUCUUUAUUUUUGAGAAUGUGUGUUCACAUUUCUUUUCUAUCUAUGUGUGUGCUUCAGGGCAUGUGCAGAGCAAGGACUCAACGCCUUGAAUGGAACACAACUUGGCGGACAAAGCAUUCGUCUUUCAUGGGGUCGCACUACUUCCAACAAGCAGGUUUGUAUCCGUUACACAAUGCAACAAGUUUACUGUUCUGUAGUCUGUUAUCUGAUGACUUCACCAUGUUCACAGACUCAGCCUGAUCAAGCACAGUACGGUGGUGGUGGUGGAUACUAUGGGUAUCCUCCUCAGGGAUACGAAGGUUACGGAUAUGCGCCUCCUCCUCAGGACCCUAACGCCUACUAUGGUGGCUACCCUGGUACCGGCUAUGGAAACUACCAGCAGCCUGGUGGUGGCUACCAGCAGCAACAGCAGGUACUUUUUUCCUUAAACUCCCGAGGUUUUAAGCAAAUUGAAAAAAAAAGUAUAUCCAUCAUGGUUUAAGACUCGUAUAGAGAGAUUACUGAUUGGUCUUCCGUCUGUUUGUUCUUCCCUAUUGCAGUGAAGCAUGAUGUUAAUGUCGUGGUCGAGCUGAAGUACUAGAAAGCUGUCUGUGAUGGUGAAUGAAUGAUUGAAGUCGACGUGCAUUAGCUAAUAUUCUCUCUACAACUCUUCUUUUCUUUUCCUUUGUUUUCUCUCGCGUGACAAUUGUUGAGUGCCCUCCUUGAAGUCGUAUACGAAAGAGGCUUUAGCUGAAAUGCUUUUUGUUUGUCAUUUGACUAUUACAUUUCUCUUUGUUGUUUCAGUACUUUUCUUUUGCAUCCCUAAUUCAACAGAUUCUAAAAGGCCACAAUAUCACUUAUGGUCACGAAAUCUAACAUUUUAGUUCUGAUAAAUCCUUUAAGAACGCAAAUGUCAUAGUUAAACAUUUAGGAAUCUACUGUUCACGCUUUUUACAAAGCUUUUAAGAUUACUCUCCAGAUGGGUGACCAAAGAAAUGAGUGGAAAAGAUUACAAUUAUUCUUUGACAAAUUAGAAGAGGAAUAGAUUUUUUUUUAUUCCAUUUCAUUCAUUUUUUCCUAUUCCUUUUGUGGUUACCACCAGUUAGAGCCUUAAUGCUAAUGACACCAUGCACUUUCUCAUUUCUCUUUUCUUUUGAACAAAACACUUUCUCUUUUGAACAAAACACUUUCCUACGAAGCAAAUUAAAAAUACUGGAAAAUAUAUUAUUAUUCGAUCUGUGCCCGUACCUAGCUAAAACACAAAAGAAUCAUACUCCUUCCGUUUCUAAAUAACUGUCCCUUGAUAUUUUUCACACAGAUUAAGUAAAUGGCCGAUAUAUAUGUUAGUUGUUAUUAAUUAUACUUCUCUGACUAAUAAUAUUUUAAAUAAAUAAAAUUAUUUAUAAAAUCAAUGCAGUUUUCAAUUAAUUUUUAGUUGAAAGUAAAUAUAUUUGCAUUAAAAUUGUAAAGUGAUAUUUUUUUUGUAAAAAAAAAAAAGUAAAAAUGACAUUUAUUUUGAAUAGAAAGAGUAUAAGAUAGUUAAUAUAAUGAGCCUAGUUUCCACAAAACCGGCCCAACAGAAAACCAAAAAUAUCUAAACGGAGUGACACCAUUUAGAUUGGCCCACGGCCAUGUGAGGCCCAAAUAACAAGAUAUUUUGCUUUUCUUUUGAUUCUAUAAAAACGUAACCGAGACAGCUUUUGACCUUGUCCGAGAGAUAACCCUCACAAACUCCAUCUCCUCCGCUUGUCUCGUCUCUUCGCGUCAUGAUGCAGCAGCCACCUCCAGCCGCUAACGGUGCCGCCGCCGCAGGGCCAGGAGAUCAGCAAGCUUACCACCACCACCAGCAAUCCUGGAUGAUGCAGCCCCACCAAGCUCAGCCACCAGCAGGAUGGAAUCCCCAAUCAGCGCCGUCUCUAGGUCAACCACAACAAUACAGCGGUGGAUCUCAAACUCCAGGAUCAGGC
RNAcentral lists this long non-coding RNA (4088 nucleotides) under Brassica napus (rape). RNAcentral describes it as "long non-coding RNA (BNAP_LNC006989)". The record is from RNAcentral. Lineage: Eukaryota; Viridiplantae; Streptophyta; Magnoliopsida; Brassicales; Brassicaceae.